CACCUCUGCUCUUUCUGUUUCACAACAACAGGUGUGUGUUUGCCUUCUUAAAUGUAUUUUGCAUGACUUUCAUGCAUCACUGCUCCUCAGAGUUUAAGUUCUUGUGUCACAGAGAGUCUGAACUGUUUUCAUGCACUCACACUGAAAACUGCAUCAGGAUGAUGUCGCCAAUAACUCUGCUGGUCAUGUUGGGUUUUCUGAGUCAGGAGUCUUCUGCCAACAAAUUUCUGACUCAGACUGACAAAUUCAAGUCUGUUAGUCUUGGAGGGACGGUGACCAUCAGCGCCACAGGGAGUUCAGAUAUUGUUUAUGUCAGUUGGUACCUUCAGAAACCUGGACAAGCUACCAAACUUCUAAUAUACGACGAUUCCACUCUAAACUCAGGAACUCCACCUCGAUUCAGUGGCAGUAGAUCUGGUUCUGGCUACACUCUGACCAUCAGUGGUGUUCAGGCUGAAGAUGUUGGAGAUUACUACUGUCUUGGCGUACAUACUGAUGUAACGUUCACACAGUGAUAUAGAGUCGUACAAAAACCUCCUUCAGUUUGACUGAAGUGAAAACGGCCUGCUGCAGCUGCAGAGGGUUGAUGAAGAGACUGUGAUGAGGAUAACUGGUCGAGUGAACACAACACUGUGACUCUGACACACAAGAGUCAUCAAGCAGAACCACAAUGAACCCAAAUUAGACUGAAACAAACUGAAAGACAUUUUCCAACCUGCAGUUUUUAAGUUAAAUCUUCAUCAUUAUUUCACAUCAUUUCAAGAACAGAGUUGUUGUAAGAAUAUAUCCUCUGACAGCAACAAAAUUCAACAAUAUUUCCACCAAUAGUUUUACAUUCAGCAGCACAAAACAAUCUACUGUAACAGUUUCAUCUAAAAAAGUUUUUGAUUCAGAAAUGAUAAAUAUGUUAUACUUUAUAUUUCAUAUUAUAUUGUUACACAUACUAUAAAAUAAUGAAUAGAAACCUGACUUGAUGUUGAAGUGAAGCAUGUUGGAAAGAUGAGGUAUAAUACUGGCAUGAAUAUGCAUUUCUCAUGAAUAAUAUAUCACAAAAUACACACAAAGAUAGUGAUUUACUAUAAUAUUCAGUUUUAUUUUAUUGGUUACAUGUUUGAAUGAUUAAAAAAUGGUUAUAUUGAAACAUAAUGGCAAUGCAUCAGAAUAUGAGUAAGAUUAAUGAGAGAAAACUGAAUACACAUCAAGAUAGAGUCAUGAUUUUGCACAAAUAGUUGAACAGAGUAGAUCUGUAGCCUCAUCAAUAUCUCUGAACUACAACACACCUACUGGAGAAGAAAGAGGGAGGAAUACAUCUUCACUCAGCUACAUAGAUUCAAUUCUUGUCUUGUAUUUUUUGUAAUAGAGAAACAUCUUUUGACACCAAAUCAUGUUUUUUUUUCCACAUUUACUCUCAAUAGAAGAGCUCUGACAAAUGUUGCCUGAUCACAUAUUUCAGUCAUGAUUUUUUCAACACUGAAAAUCUAAUUCCAAAAUAUAUUUUCCAAGUUUUUUAAUCAUGAUAUAAAUUUGUAUUUAAAAAAAAACAUUAUUGUUACUACAUUAUUCUACUUUCAUUAUCAGUUAAAAUGUUAAUUAAUUUUGUCACUUAAGUCCGAA
Molecule: non-coding RNA, 1614 nt
Organism: Thunnus maccoyii (southern bluefin tuna)
Lineage: Eukaryota; Metazoa; Chordata; Actinopteri; Scombriformes; Scombridae
Source: the annotation of a RefSeq genome assembly